RNAcentral lists this transfer RNA (63 nucleotides) under Camelus bactrianus (Bactrian camel). It matches the Rfam family "tRNA". From Rfam's summary of the family: Transfer RNA (tRNA) molecules are approximately 80 nucleotides in length. The record is from Rfam by way of RNAcentral. RNAcentral also lists the same sequence under 2 other names. Lineage: Eukaryota; Metazoa; Chordata; Mammalia; Artiodactyla; Camelidae.
GAGGGUAUGUAGAGUGCAUGCCUAGCAUGCAUGAGAUCCUGGGUUCAAUCCCCAGUACCUCCA